AACGAACGCUGGCGGCAUGCCUAACACAUGCAAGUCGAACGAGACCUUCGGGUCUAGUGGCGCACGGGUGCGUAACGCGUGGGAACCUGCCCUUAGGUUCGGAAUAACUCCCCGAAAGGGGUGCUAAUACCGGAUAAUGUCUUCGGACCAAAGAUUUAUCGCCUUUGGAUGGGCCCGCGUUGGAUUAGCUAGUUGGUAGGGUAAAAGCCUACCAAGGCGACGAUCCAUAGCUGGUCUGAGAGGAUGAUCAGCCACACUGGGACUUAGACACGGCCCAGACUCCUACGGGAGGCAGCAGUGGGGAAUAUUGGACAAUGGGCGAAAGCCUGAUCCGGCAAUGCCGCGUGAGUGAUGAAGGCCUUAGGGUUGUAAAGCUCUUUUACCCGGGAUGAUAAUGACAGUACCGGGAGAAUAAGCUCCGGCUAACUCCGUG
Molecule: ribosomal RNA, 433 nt
Filed under: uncultured bacterium
Lineage: Bacteria
Description: partial 16S ribosomal RNA
Rfam family: Bacterial small subunit ribosomal RNA
Source: RNAcentral